CAGCACAUCGCUGAACCUGCAACUAUGCGCCAGCAGUAGAGUACACAAGACACAUAAGGUGAACGGCAUACUCCGCAGGAAAGUCGCUUCGAGAUGUGCGUGUGCGACGGACGCUUCAGGGGUAUCACAUUCCUAGAGCCUGCAACGCACCUUGGCAUGACUGUCGAAUGGUUGAGCAGCAGUCCAGCAGCGACGUCGCUUAUCAGUCGCGACGUUGUGAUGUUCUCUCACAUGCUGUGGAAUGAAGUCUGAGAUGUUUACAUGACGAUGCAGCCAAGUCGCUGCUGUUUGCCCUCCACCGUGUCGCUUAGGGAAGGGGCAAGGCACGAAGAGGCGACGAGGAGCACUAUCGGUAUGUGGGGUGCGCUAAGGCACCGCGACAGAGACGCACUUGCCGCUGAGGAAGACUCGUUUUGGUGACGGGGGGGGGCAUGUGCGCUUUUCAGUCGCUGACUCGAGCCGCGCUCCACGGGACAUCAAAAGUGUGCCUCCGUAGGCCAUGCCAAGUCGCGUGAGUGCUCUGCGCGGGCGCUCUAGCGUCACCGGCAACCUCCCGAGAAGCUCGAGGUGCAGUUCGUCGGCGAUGCACUGCGCAGGGAGUAGUGACACGUAUUUCAUUGCGCCCGGCUAUGCAGACGGAAAACCUGUACACCAAACGGCCUGCUGCGACCACCGCGGUAGCAACAGCCUCGGCAGCACGCCCACGGGUGUACUAUGCAUGGCCACAACAGAUGGUCGCGUUUUCCUUUUAGCGCCUGCUCUAUACUUCACCGGGCGCAUGCAACAGUAGCCCACAGAGAGUGCUUCUCCGUCUGCGCCCUGGCCCGAGGUCCUGCAGGACACCGUCUCCUCCAUGCUCCUUGAAACAGCGGCUCGUCGCCAGACAUUAACCAUCCAGACUGUCAUUGAUAAAUGUCGUGCAUCGCUGACAGACACAGUAAAGACGGAAGAAACCGUGCGGGCGCGUACACUUCGAAGCUCGCAUGGAGGCGGCGGUUACCUGCUUCGGCAUCUCUGCAGUAGCUCAGCCAUAGCCUUGCCCUGCGCUUGGCUGCCGUGUGUUCCACAGCCACGCGAGUAGGGUGCACUGGCUCUCCACGCUGACAUCUCUGAAGGGUUGUUUGCACCCGUCGUGAAUUCUCUUUCGCCGUCGGGUCUUGUGCGCCGUUUUUUUUUCUCGCUUUCUUCUGUAUCGUCAGACAGUAAUCCAAUGCCUCACCGACAGACGCACCGGGGGAGGGCACUCAGGAGCGGUGAGUCAUAUCUGCUCGAGCGCACGGCCGCACUCGUCGGCGACGAAGAGGCGUCCGUGUGCCUGACGGCGCGGAUUUGAGCAGUGUCGCUUUAUGCGAGCACACCCUUUAUAUGUUUCCUCGAUCCACACACACACACACACACACCGCGGAUGUUAUGGUACGCUGUAAAAGGCAUAUUGUCCGUUGAGGGCCAUUGAGUGAGCCUCGGAGUGUUGGAGGCGGGGUGGCCCCUUAACGGAUGGUGUUGCAUGCACUGUGUGCCAUCGCAUAGCCCCUUCUCUUGGCCUGUGCGCUUGAAAAGCCCUGCCGUGUAGCGCCUUAUGUUGUUGUUUCUCUGCCUCAUUAUCCGCUCCCCCUUCGCGGUCUGCUCGACGCGUGUUUUGUGGCUGCUGUAGUGAAGACGUGGGCCAGCGGGCACACAGGAGGCUGCCCUCACGUGCGUGCUUUCUCGGAAACCCACUUGCUCUGUUGCCGCGCCGAAGCCCCCUCGCUUAUUGCGACCUUGUCUUCGCUGGUCUCCCUCCUCCCCCUCCUCUCUCACGUGCAGGACCGUUCUGGAAUGCGCAUCCAUGCGAAGGCGGCGAGCAAGCGCCCGCCAUCCUCCGUGUCACCUCUCCUCUCGUUGGAGAGAAGGGCAAACAAAAAAGAAGAAGAGAGAAACGUGCUGGUGGUCUCCUCUCUGCGUUCGCUUCCCUGCCAUGUGGGCGUGCAACCGGCUGUUUUGCUGCGUGCAACUUCCCUUUUCGGAUACCUGUUGUUGCGCUUCCUCUUUGCGCUCUUCGUUUUUUUUUUGGGGGGGGGGGGUGGGAAGGGAGGGAGGGAGGGAGGGAAAGGGGGCGCGCCUCUCACUCUCUCGGUGUGUAUGUGUGUUGCGCUGCUUUCUGUGUAGUGUGCGCCUCUCUUGCCUGUCUCCUCUAUACGCUCUUUGGUUCUCCCCUUCUCCGCACCAGGUCGCUGCUGCUGACUAUGGCUAGUCGAAAAAGCAUGUUCUCUGUAGGCGCAGCGUGCAUUGCGGUUGGCGGACUCUUCGUGAGCACGUCCCUCGCAAGUGUCCAGCCCGCACCUCCUACGUGGCGGUGUCGUAUGCCUUCUCUGCCGAACUCGAGCAAUUCAUGCGAGCCCGCAGGCAGCCACGGCGCAG
RNAcentral lists this unclassified non-coding RNA (2397 nucleotides) under Leishmania donovani. RNAcentral describes it as "gene:unknown". The record is from RNAcentral. Lineage: Eukaryota; Euglenozoa; Kinetoplastea; Trypanosomatida; Trypanosomatidae.